CCUACGGGUGGCAGCAGUGAGGAAUAUUGGUCAAUGGGCGGGAGCCUGAACCAGCCAAGCCGCGUGAGGGAAGAAGGUACAGCGUAUCGUAAACCUCUUUUGUCAGGGAACAAAGGCGGGGACUAGUCCCCGGAUGAGGGUACCUGAAGAAAAAGCAUCGGCUAACUCCGUGCCAGCAGCCGCGGUAAUACGGAGGAUGCGAGCGUUAUCCGGAUUUAUUGGGUUUAGAGGGUGCGCGGGGGGCCUGUUAAGUCAGCGGGAAAAGCCCGGGGCUCAACCCCGGCGAGCCGUUGAAACUGGCGGGCUGGAGUGGGAGAGAGGUACGCGGAAUGCGCGGUGUAGCGGUGAAAUGCUUAGAUAUCGCGCAGAACACCGAUUGCGAAGGCAGCGUACCGGCUCCACACUGACGCUGAGGCACGAAAGCGUGGGUAUCGAACAGGAUUAGAUACCCGAGUAGUC
This 459-nucleotide ribosomal RNA is filed under the name uncultured bacterium. Its description in RNAcentral is "partial 16S ribosomal RNA". It matches the Rfam family "Bacterial small subunit ribosomal RNA", at positions 338 to 795 of the family's 1533-position model. The record is from RNAcentral.